Pipistrellus kuhlii (Kuhl's pipistrelle) is the source of this 752-nucleotide long non-coding RNA. RefSeq lists it as uncharacterized. The transcript is spliced from 3 exons. The record is from RefSeq and is a predicted model, not a curated record. Lineage: Eukaryota; Metazoa; Chordata; Mammalia; Chiroptera; Vespertilionidae.
CCAAAUGCCACGUGAGGCCGGUGGUUCCAAGUGCCACGUGAGCCUCAAGCAGCGGUGAUUCUUGGGACUCGCGUCUUCCCAGCGUCUCCCUUUAAGCAGUGAGAUCUGUACCUGCACCAAGUGCACCAAGAAGAUUCUCUCCGGUUGUUCGAUUCUCUCCACCCCUGGAGUGAACUGGUCAGUGACCAGGGUGGUUCCUGCAACAGCGUGGACAGGCCUUCUCCUUCCCAGCGGUUUGGGACCUUCCUGGAGCACCUGCUCGCCUUUACAAUGAUCUCUCUCUCUCUUUCUCUCUCUCUCUUUCUCUCUCUCUCUCAACUCUCUCUCUCUCUGCCAAUGGUUUGCCCUUCUGUAUUUGAUGCAAGAUUAAACACUUCCCAGAGAGGAUUCUAGCCUGGUAAAUAACCAGGGUUCAGGAAAUGUCCAGCUGGCAUUUGUCUUUCUUGCAAAGUAUUUUCAGAAACAGGUGGUGACCCUGAGUUGGAAGCAGCCCCUCCACUGGGCUCCGGUGGCCAGACUCUCCUGGGGGUUUUGGUGUGUGAGAGGCAGCUGCGGAGGAAAGAAUGGGACUUCGGCUAGUACACCUCUCCCACUACUGUGUCUAAACACCUGGGAGCUGGAAAGCAAAUCGCCAGUCGAUGAGCCUGUAGCUGCCUUGGAACGAAGACUGACCAGAGUUAACAUCUUUUGGUAGCUACUCUCUGAGUGCAGAAUUCUUCCAAAACUGGGAAAAGCCAGUGUGAUCUGAUUUU